Molecule: long non-coding RNA, 1937 nt
Filed under: Helianthus annuus (common sunflower)
Lineage: Eukaryota; Viridiplantae; Streptophyta; Magnoliopsida; Asterales; Asteraceae
Description: hypothetical non coding rna
Source: RNAcentral
GUAUGCUUUUGGAGAAUCGAUAAGCCAAUCCAGAUUGGUUGAAUCGUCAUACAAGUGUGUUCAGUUUUAUCGUCGUAUGUGCUCUGACCAGCCUCCCGCUACCAUUCUCCGACCACCCACCAGAGUUUGUCAAUGAUUACACAACGACAACCCACCGGCAUGAAACCUACAAUCACCGCCGUUGAAUGCUUUUUCCCAACUUGUGGUUACUCUCCAAUCAGUAACUCUUUCAUCUCUGCAAGAUCGGAAGAUCUAAGGUUAUAAAUUGAAGACGAAUAAUUGAAGGAGACAUGUGUGCUGAGAGAUCGAUUAGGUCUCUUUUUAGGCAGUACGAAUCCUUAAUUCCUCUGCCAUCGGAAGUAAUCUCAAGUGCUUAUUAUGAAUUAUGGUUUGAGAAAUUAUGUCUAUUCAGUGUGUUUUUUUUAUUACACGAAACUUGUGUACACGUAUUUUUGUUUGUCAAUUCGUGUUUUAGUUAGGUUUUAAGGAGUUUAUUAUAUGAUGGUCCAGAAUCUAGGGCUAAUUGUUAUAAUUUUCAGAUAUGGGGCUUUACCCAGAUUGUCAUACUCACUCAUCAUUGUGAUUCCAGUCGCUUCAUCCACAACUUUAGAGGUUGAAAUUUAUUAGGAAACUAAACUGAUAAAAUCCCAGUGCCAAAGGUGAUUAUAAAUCAGGACUCAGAUCUAGAUCUAGAUCUUGAUGCAAGUGUGAUGGGAUCACUUACAAAUCUUGGAAUGAAUGUUGUCAAGGCAAAUGAUCAUCUGAAUUCUUCCGGGAAUCACACCAUGUUUUUAACAACUGAAGCAUCAUAGACAUGAUGCAGCAAGAGCAGAAAAUUCAUUUACUCUUAUUUUUAGGAGUGAAUUAAUCGGUAUGCAAAUCUGCAAAAAAGGGGCAAAAUUGCAAAGGCUAAAAGACUGAUGAUGUUCAAACUGGUAACGGUUUGGUUUGGUUUCAAAUUUCAGCGGUUUGGUUCUGGUUUACAAUCAUAAAAAAUCAUUAGUGGCUUACGGUUUGCCUAAAAACCGUAAAAAAAACCGAACCGUGAACGCCCCUAUUAAUGAUGAUACUUGCAAAGUGUGAAUUGUUUACUUGAAUAUACUUUUAAAUGCCGAAUUUUACCUUCAAAUACCGCUACCGUACCGAUACCAUACCGAUACCGUACCGUACCGACAUAUUUCGCUAUGUGUAUCGGUACCCGGUUUUGGCGGAAUUCGGUAUCGGGACGGGAUCGGGAUUUGAUCAUCCCUACUUACUUAAAGACUUUUCAUCUUGAAACAUUUGUACUGAUCAAUAAUCAUAUAUAUAAUGGGUUGAUUACUGGUGCCCAAAUGGUUUCAAGUGUGAACUCAAUUAUCAAGCACUAGUGUUUGCACCAGGUGGAGAUCUUAUAAAGGUUAAAAGAGCAGUUUGCAUGAUCAGCAACAACACAGCAGUUGCCAAGGGGUUGCAAAAAAAUGUCACAUUUUGUAAUAUUUGUUGAGCUAUCAAGACCUUGAUGCUCUAGAGGAUGAGGUCAUUGUCAUAGAGUACGAGAGCAUGCACACUAUUCUUUAAUGGAGUUGAAGGACCAAGGCCUGACCUGACCCAACCGAACGCACAUUUAAGCUGAGUUUUUUUUUUCUGAAGACGACGUGAGUCAUUGAUCGAAUUGAGUAUGUUCUACCUACCAUUAACCACUUCGAAUGGAGAUAAAAAGGUGUUCUUUUGUUCUCAUUUUAGUCAUUUCUGAUUAUGAUUGUAUUUGAUGAUCUUAAUUUAUUGGUUGAUAUAUGCUACUAUGUCGAUCUUUAAAUUUUUUUUGACAAUGCAGUGCACUGUUUUACUCUGCAAAAGAUGUAGUGAGCUAGGGGAAGCAUCAGAUGAUCAAUGAUGAUUCCUUUAUUCUAGUCUUGUCACUGAGUUGGUUGUUGUUAAGUAAAUACGAUUUCGUUGUG